Molecule: ribosomal RNA, 253 nt
Filed under: uncultured bacterium
Lineage: Bacteria
Description: partial 16S ribosomal RNA
Rfam family: Bacterial small subunit ribosomal RNA
Source: RNAcentral
UACGUAGGGUGCGAGCGUUAAUCGGAAUUACUGGGCGUAAAGCGUGCGCAGGCGGUUCGUUGUGUCCGAUGUGAAAGCCCCGAGCUUAACUUGGGAAUGGCAUUGGAAACUGGCGGGCUGGAGUGUGGCAGAGGGGGGUGGAAUUCCACGUGUAGCAGUGAAAUGCGUAGAGAUGUGGAGGAACACCGAUGGCGAAGGCAGCCCCCUGGGCUGACACUGACGCUCAGGCACGAAAGCGUGGGGAGCAAACAGG